GAACGAAAGUUAGGGGAUCGAAGACGAUCAGAUACCGUCGUAGUCUUAACUAUAAACUAUGCCGACCAGGGAUUUGAGAACGUUACUUUUUGGAUGACUUCUUCAGCACCUUGUGAGAAAUCAGAAGUGUUUAGGUUCAGGGGGGAGUACGGUCGCAAGUCUGAAACUUAAAGGAAUUGACGGAGGGGCACCACCAGGAGUGGAGCCUG
Molecule: ribosomal RNA, 209 nt
Filed under: Togula jolla
Lineage: Eukaryota; Dinophyceae; Gymnodiniales; Gymnodiniaceae
Description: partial Eukaryotic small subunit ribosomal RNA
Rfam family: Eukaryotic small subunit ribosomal RNA
Source: RNAcentral